This 524-nucleotide ribosomal RNA is filed under the name uncultured bacterium. Its description in RNAcentral is "partial 16S ribosomal RNA". It matches the Rfam family "Bacterial small subunit ribosomal RNA", at positions 28 to 523 of the family's 1533-position model. The record is from RNAcentral.
GACGAACGCUGGCGGCGUGCCUAAUACAUGCAAGUCGAGCGCAGGAAAUCGACGGAACCCUUCGGGGGGAAGUCGACGGAAUGAGCGGCGGACGGGUGAGUAACACGUAAAGAACCUGCCCUCAGGUCUGGGAUAACCACGAGAAAUCGGGGCUAAUACCGGAUGGGUCAUCGGACCGCAUGGUCCGAGGAUGAAAGGCGCUUCGGCGUCGCCCGGGGAUGGCUUUGCGGUGCAUUAGCUAGUUGGUGGGGUAAUGGCCCACCAAGGCGACGAUGAAUAGCCGACCUGAGAGGGUGAUCGGCCACACUGGGACUGAGACACGGCCCAGACUCCUACGGGAGGCAGCAGUAGGGAAUCUUCCACAAUGGACGAAAGUCUGAUGGAGCAACGCCACGUGAACGAUGAAGGCCUUCGGGUCGUAAAGUUCUGUUGUAAGGGAAGAACAAGUGCCGCAGGCAAUGGCGGCACCUUGACGGUACCUUGCGAGAAAGCCCCGGCUAACUACGUGCCAGCAGCCGCAGUAA